Molecule: ribosomal RNA, 220 nt
Filed under: uncultured gamma proteobacterium CHAB-XI-17
Lineage: Bacteria; Pseudomonadati; Pseudomonadota; Gammaproteobacteria
Description: partial 16S ribosomal RNA
Rfam family: Bacterial small subunit ribosomal RNA
Source: RNAcentral
UGGAGUCUGCAACUCGACUCCAUGAAGUCGGAAUCGCUAGUAAUCGCAGGUCAGAAUACUGCGGUGAAUACGUUCCCGGGCCUUGUACACACCGCCCGUCACACCAUGGGAGUGGGAUGCAAAAGAAGUAGUUAGUCUAACCUUCGGGAGGACGAUUACCACUUUGUGUUUCAUGACUGGGGUGAAGUCGUAACAAGGUAACCCUAGGGGAACCUGGGGU